This 325-nucleotide ribosomal RNA is filed under the name uncultured Acidobacteriota bacterium. RNAcentral describes it as "bacterial SSU rRNA". It matches the Rfam family "Bacterial small subunit ribosomal RNA", at positions 15 to 354 of the family's 1533-position model. Lineage: Bacteria; Pseudomonadati; Acidobacteriota. The record is from RNAcentral.
GAUCCUGGCUCAGAAUCAACGCUGGCGGCGUGCCUAACACAUGCAAGUCGAACGAGAAAGUGUAGCAAUMCAUGAGUAAAGUGGCGCACGGGUGAGUAACACGUGACUAACCUACCCUGGAGUGGGGGAUAACUGAGGGAAACCUUAGCUAAUACCGCAUAAUACCUACGGGUCAAAGGAGCAAUUCGCUUGAGGAGGGGGUCGCGGCCGAUUAGUUAGUUGGCGGGGUAAUGGCCCACCAAGACARUGAUCGGUAUCCGGCCUGAGAGGGCGCACGGACACACUGGAACUGAAACACGGUCCAGACUCCUACGGGAGGCAGCAG